GCGCGCAAAUUACCCAAUCCUGACACGGGGAGGUAGUGACAAUAAAUAACAAUACCGGGCGCGUUAGUGUCUGGUAAUUGGAAUGAGUACAAUCUAAAUCCCUUAACGAGGAUCCAUUGGAGGCAAGUCUGGUNCCAA
Molecule: ribosomal RNA, 138 nt
Filed under: uncultured bacterium
Lineage: Bacteria
Description: partial 16S rRNA
Rfam family: Eukaryotic small subunit ribosomal RNA
Source: RNAcentral